RNAcentral lists this ribosomal RNA (1372 nucleotides) under uncultured bacterium. RNAcentral describes it as "bacterial SSU rRNA". It matches the Rfam family "Bacterial small subunit ribosomal RNA", at positions 28 to 1381 of the family's 1533-position model. The record is from RNAcentral.
GAUAAACGCUGGCGGCGUGCCUAAUACAUGCAAGUCGAGCGAACGGACGAGAAGCUUGCUUCUCUGAUGUUAGCGGCGGACGGGUGAGUAACACGUGGAUAACCUACCUAUAAGACUGGGAUAACUUCGGGAAACCGGAGCUAAUACCGGAUAAUAUUUUGAACCGCAUGGUUCAAAAGUGAAAGACGGUCUUGCUGUCACUUAUAGAUGGAUCCGCGCUGCAUUAGCUAGUUGGUAAGGUAACGGCUUACCAAGGCAACGAUGCAUAGCCGACCUGAGAGGGUGAUCGGCCACACUGGAACUGAGACACGGUCCAGACUCCUACGGGAGGCAGCAGUAGGGAAUCUUCCGCAAUGGGCGAAAGCCUGACGGAGCAACGCCGCGUGAGUGAUGAAGGUCUUCGGAUCGUAAAACUCUGUUAUUAGGGAAGAACAUAUGUGUAAGUAACUGUGCACAUCUUGACGGUACCUAAUCAGAAAGCCACGGCUAACUACGUGCCAGCAGCCGCGGUAAUACGUAGGUGGCAAGCGUUAUCCGGAAUUAUUGGGCGUAAAGCGCGCGUAGGCGGUUUUUUAAGUCUGAUGUGAAAGCCCACGGCUCAACCGUGGAGGGUCAUUGGAAACUGGAAAACUUGAGUGCAGAAGAGGAAAGUGGAAUUCCAUGUGUAGCGGUGAAAUGCGCAGAGAUAUGGAGGAACACCAGUGGCGAAGGCGACUUUCUGGUCUGUAACUGACGCUGAUGUGCGAAAGCGUGGGGAUCAAACAGGAUUAGAUACCCUGGUAGUCCACGCCGUAAACGAUGAGUGCUAAGUGUUAGGGGGUUUCCGCCCCUUAGUGCUGCAGCUAACGCAUUAAGCACUCCGCCUGGGGAGUACGACCGCAAGGUUGAAACUCAAAGGAAUUGACGGGGACCCGCACAAGCGGUGGAGCAUGUGGUUUAAUUCGAAGCAACGCGAAGAACCUUACCAAAUCUUGACAUCCUUUGACAACUCUAGAGAUAGAGCCUUCCCCUUCGGGGGACAAAGUGACAGGUGGUGCAUGGUUGUCGUCAGCUCGUGUCGUGAGAUGUUGGGUUAAGUCCCGCAACGAGCGCAACCCUUAAGCUUAGUUGCCAUCAUUAAGUUGGGCACUCUAAGUUGACUGCCGGUGACAAACCGGAGGAAGGUGGGGAUGACGUCAAAUCAUCAUGCCCCUUAUGAUUUGGGCUACACACGUGCUACAAUGGACAAUACAAAGGGCAGCGAAACCGCGAGGUCAAGCAAAUCCCAUAAAGUUGUUCUCAGUUCGGAUUGUAGUCUGCAACUCGACUACAUGAAGCUGGAAUCGCCAGUAAUCGUAGAUCAGCAUGCUACGGUGAAUACGUUCCCGGGUCG